RNAcentral lists this long non-coding RNA (450 nucleotides) under Equus caballus (horse). Its description in RNAcentral is "lncRNA (ENSECAG00000054835.1)". Lineage: Eukaryota; Metazoa; Chordata; Mammalia; Perissodactyla; Equidae. The record is from RNAcentral.
GUAUAAGAAGUGAUUUUCAAUCUCCUUUCCUCAGGAGCCUGUUAAUGCCCUUAAUCCCCAGAAGAAACUUUCUAACACAAAACAUUAACAUCUUAAUAAAAGUUUUCUCCUUUCCUAUUGCAGGAAACAGCCUAAAGUGCUCCAGAACAAUGAAUAUGACUUUGUAAAUGUGUAAUAUUACACUAAAGCUGUCAUAUUAAUGAUAACCUGAGACCAAUUAAAGGGCCAGUGUGACCUGAAGACUUUUCAUCAUCUGAGCAAUGAAGUCACGGGUUCCCUGGUAUCCAACCCAGAUCAUCAUAAAAGGUGGAUUUAGUUGGAGACUUUCUGUUGACAACCUCAGAUUACCGAAGAGGAGAGUAUACCCAGUGUUUUCUCACGACAGUCCUCAGCUCUGGCACACUCUUCUCCUUCCACCUCAUUAGCUCUUUGCAGUCUGGAUUUCUUGAC